This is a small nuclear RNA of Sorex araneus (European shrew), 105 nucleotides long. The record is from Ensembl. NCBI's taxonomy places the organism in Eukaryota, Metazoa, Chordata, Mammalia, Eulipotyphla, Soricidae.
GUGCCUGCUUUGUCAGCACAUAUACUAAAAUUGGAACAAUACAAAGAAGAUUAGAAUGGCCUUUUGAACAAGGAUGCUACGCAAAUUCAGCUGAUAAAUGUCUUU